This 739-nucleotide ribosomal RNA is filed under the name uncultured bacterium. Its description in RNAcentral is "bacterial SSU rRNA". It matches the Rfam family "Bacterial small subunit ribosomal RNA", at positions 62 to 832 of the family's 1533-position model. The record is from RNAcentral.
UCGAACGGGAAAACAGGGGCAACUCUGUGAGUACAGUGGCGUACGGGUGUGUAACACGUGACUACCUACCUUUUAGUGGGGGAUAACCCCGGGAAACCGGGGCUAAUACCGCAUAGCAUCGCAAGAUCAAAGGAGCAAUUCGCUGGAAGAGGGGGUCGCGGCUGAUUAGCUAGUUGGUGAGGUAACGGCUCACCAAGGCGAUGAUCGGUAGCCGGCCUGAGAGGGCGCACGGCCACACUGGAACUGAAACACGGUCCAGACUCCUACGGGAGGCAGCAGUGGGGAAUUUUGCGCAAUGGGGGAAACCCUGACGCAGCAACGCCGCGUGGAGGAUGAAGUCCCUUGGGACGUAAACUCCUUUCGACCCGGACGAUAAUGACGGUACGGGUGGAAGAAGCACCGGCUAACUUCGUGCCAGCAGCCGCGGUAAUACGAGGGGUGCAAGCGUUGUUCGGAAUUAUUGGGCGUAAAGGGCGCGUAGGCGGCGCGGUAAGUCACCUGUGAAAUCUCCCGGCUCAACUGGGAGCCUGCAGGCGAAACUGCCGUGCUGGAGUAUGGGAGAGGUGCGUGGAAUUCCCGGUGUAGCGGUGAAAUGCGUAGAUAUCAGGAGGAACACCUGUGGCGAAAGCGGCGCACUGGACCAUAACUGACGCUGAGGCGCGAAAGCUAGGGGAGCAAACAGGAUUAGAUACCCUGGUAGUCCUAGCCCUAAACUAUGGAUGCUUGGUGUAGCCGGUAC